This 492-nucleotide ribosomal RNA is filed under the name uncultured bacterium. Its description in RNAcentral is "partial 16S ribosomal RNA". It matches the Rfam family "Bacterial small subunit ribosomal RNA", at positions 30 to 507 of the family's 1533-position model. The record is from RNAcentral.
AGUGAACGCUGGCGGUAGGCCUAACACAUGCAAGUCGAACGGCAGCACAGUAAGAGCUUGCUCUUACGGGUGGCGAGUGGCGGACGGGUGAGGAAUACAUCGGAAUCUACUUUUUCGUGGGGGAUAACGUAGGGAAACUUACGCUAAUACAGCAUACGACCUACGAGUGAAAGCAGGGGAUCUUCGGACCUUGCGCGAUUGAAUGAGCCGAGGUGGGAUGAGCUAGUUGGCGGGGUAAAGGCCCACCAAGGCGACGAUCCGUAGCUGGUCUGCGAGGAGGAUGGGCCACACGGGAACUGGGACAGGGUCCAGAGUCCUACGGGAGGCAGCAGUGGGGAAUAUUGGACAAGGGGCGCAAGCUGGAUCCAGCCAGACCGCGUGGGUGAAGAAGGCCUUCGGGUUGUAAAGCCCGUUUGUUGGGAAAGAAAAGCAGCAGGGUAAUACCCCGCUGUUCUGACGGUACCCAAAGAAUAAGCACCGGCUAACUUCGUG